This 773-nucleotide ribosomal RNA is filed under the name uncultured Russula. RNAcentral's name for it is "partial 28S ribosomal RNA". It matches the Rfam family "Eukaryotic large subunit ribosomal RNA", at positions 216 to 962 of the family's 3401-position model. The record is from RNAcentral. Lineage: Eukaryota; Fungi; Basidiomycota; Agaricomycetes; Russulales; Russulaceae.
GAAUCCCGUCUUUGGUACGGACCCCCAGGGCUUCUGUGAUGCGCUCUCGAAGAGUCGAGUUGUUUGGGAAUGCAGCUCAAAAUGGGUGGUGAACUCCAUCUAAAGCUAAAUAUUGGCGAGAGACCGAUAGCGAACAAGUACCGUGAGGGAAAGAUGAAAAGCACUUUGGAAAGAGAGUGAAACAGUACGUGAAAUUGUUGAAAGGGAAACGCUUAAAGUCAGUCGCGUCCGCCGAGACUCAGCCUCGCUCCGGCUUGGUGUAUUUCUCGGUCGACGGGUCAGCGUCAAUUUCGCCCCUCGGAUAAUGGCAAUGGAAAGGUGGCACCUUUGCGGGUGUGUUAUAGUCCUUUGUCGCAUGCGAGGGGUGGGAUUGAGGAACUCAGCACGCACGCCCUCUGGGGUGUGUCGGGGCCAAGGCCCACGCCACGUGCUUAGGAUGCUGGCGUAAUGGCUUUAAACGACCCGUCUUGAAACACGGACCAAGGAGUCUAACAUGCCCGCGAGUGUUCGGGUGGAAAACCCGUGCGCGUAAUGAAAGUGAAAGUUGGGACCUUCGUCGUGAAGGGCACCGACGCCCGGACCAGACCUUCUGUGACGGAUCUGCGGUGGAGCGUGCAUGUUGGGACCCGAAAGAUGGUGAACUAUGCCUGAAUAGGGUGAAGCCAGAGGAAACUCUGGUGGAGGCUCGUAGCGAUUCUGACGUGCAAAUCGAUCGUCAAAUUUGGGUAUAGGGGCGAAAGACUAAUCGAACCAUCUAGUAGCUGGUUCCUGCC